AGAGUUCCUCUCCCUUCUUAUGAAUAUUCUGUUGUGAUGCCUCCUCUUUAUGCUCUGUACCCAAUCGUUGUUCCUCUUUCCCAAAACUCCUCCCCUUAUUCACCAUACUCUGGAAAGUUCUCCUAGCUCCCCUAUAAAAGGCGGAGCCAUGUUAAUGAAGUGGUUCACUGUUUUCUAGUCUGUUAUGUGUGUCGAACUGUGAGUGAACUUCCCCGUGUCCAUAUCUGGGCUGUGUUACACAGAUGCUCUUCCCUAUGUUUCCCAAGUUCCUGCUGAGCCCCGUGAGGAAGGAGUGUGUGCCUCCUGGCAGAGAUGAGGCUGUUUGGCCAUUUGGGCGUGUUCAAAUUUGGAGGAAAGGUAAAAUCUUCACACUGCAAAGAAGCUUUUAGGAAACACAUCUUGCUGACAAGAUGAUAAAAGGUAGCGUGGUGUGUGUGCCUUGAUAAAACAGGAGCUUUACCUCCAGAGGU
Long non-coding RNA from Corapipo altera (White-ruffed manakin), 470 nucleotides. RefSeq lists it as uncharacterized. Lineage: Eukaryota; Metazoa; Chordata; Aves; Passeriformes; Pipridae. The record is from RefSeq and is a predicted model, not a curated record. The transcript has 3 exons.